Molecule: ribosomal RNA, 585 nt
Filed under: uncultured bacterium
Lineage: Bacteria
Description: partial 16S ribosomal RNA
Rfam family: Bacterial small subunit ribosomal RNA
Source: RNAcentral
UGGGGAAUUUUGGACAAUGGGCGAAAGCCUGAUCCAGCAAUGCCGCGUGUGUGAAGAAGGCCUUCGGGUUGUAAAGCACUUUUGUCCGGAAAGAAAUCCUUGGCUCUAAUACAGUCGGGGGAUGACGGUACCGGAAGAAUAAGCACCGGCUAACUACGUGCCAGCAGCCGCGGUAAUACGUAGGGUGCAAGCGUUAAUCGGAAUUACUGGGCGUAAAGCGUGCGCAGGCGGUUUGCUAAGACCGAUGUGAAAUCCCCGGGCUCAACCUGGGAACUGCAUUGGUGACUGGCAGGCUAGAGUAUGGCAGAGGGGGGUAGAAUUCCACGUGUAGCAGUGAAAUGCGUAGAGAUGUGGAGGAAUACCGAUGGCGAAGGCAGCCCCCUGGCAAGUACUGACGCUCAUGCACGAAAGCGUGGGGAGCAAACAGGAUUAGAUACCCUGGUAGUCCACGCCCUAAACGAUGUCAACUAGUUGUUGGGGGAUUCAUUUCCUUAGUAACGUAGCUAACGCGUGAAGUUGACCGCCUGGGGAGUACGGUCGCAAGAUUAAAACUCAAAUGAAUUGACGGGGUCAUAGCUGUUUCCU